RNAcentral lists this unclassified non-coding RNA (293 nucleotides) under Hevea brasiliensis (rubber tree). The record is from RNAcentral. Lineage: Eukaryota; Viridiplantae; Streptophyta; Magnoliopsida; Malpighiales; Euphorbiaceae.
UAGGAAAGUGAUCAUCAUCCCAAAAUAUGUUACACACAGAGUGAAUAUGAAGAGCACUAACCAAUACUUUAGGAACUCUGCAAUUGAUCCAGUUCCAAUUCCGGCCAUGCCAUUCCCAAUCCCUACAACUGCAAGUGUAGCAAUGAAAAAAUAUGGUAUCUCACCCACAGCCCAUGAUACUGGAUAAAAAAUUGGAAGAUACAUCCCAGCCCUUUUCUCUCGGAAAUAAACCAACCUGUCUGUGCCAAUCUGAGGAAUGAUGUUGUUGGCUGAGAUCACUCCUAUGAGUAUAA